AUUGAACGCUGGCGGCAUGCCUUACACAUGCAAGUCGAACGGCAGCACGGGGGCAACCCUGGUGGCGAGUGGCGAACGGGUGAGUAAUACAUCGGAACGUGUCCUGUAGUGGGGGAUAGCCCGGCGAAAGCCGGAUUAAUACCGCAUACGAUCUAAGGAUGAAAGCGGGGGAUCGCAAGACCUCGCGCGAUUGGAGCGGCCGAUGGCAGAUUAGGUAGUUGGUAGGGUAAAGGCCUACCAAGCCGACGAUCUGUAGCUGGACUGAGAGGAUGAUCAGCCACACUGGGACUGAGACACGGCCCAGACUCCUACGGGAGGCAGCAGUGGGGAAUUUUGGACAAGAGGCGCAAGCCUGUUCCAGCCAUUCCGCGUGCAGGAUGAAGGCCUUCGGGUUGUAAACUGCUUUUGUACAGAACGAAAAGGCUCUGGUUAAUACCCGGGGCUCAUGACGGUACUGUAAGAAUAAGCACCGGCUAACUACGUGCCAGCCGCCGCAGUAA
Molecule: ribosomal RNA, 500 nt
Filed under: uncultured bacterium
Lineage: Bacteria
Description: partial 16S ribosomal RNA
Rfam family: Bacterial small subunit ribosomal RNA
Source: RNAcentral